GUGUAAUAUAGUGUACUACAUCUCAAAUUCUAUUUAUGAAUGACUACAAGCGAAGGAGAUAGAUGGUUUUAAAAAAAUCCCAAAAUUUCAAAAAUGUAUCUAGAAUUACUAGAAAACUAUGAACAAAAAUAGUGAAAUAAAGGGUCGCGAUCUCGCGAGGGUGAGCUAACUCCAGAAACCCGUCCUCAGUUCGGAUUGCAGGGCUGCAACUUGCCUGCAUGAAGUGGGAUUCACUAGUAAUCACCGGUAAGCCAUACAGCGGUGAAUCCGUUCCCGGGCCUUGUACACACCGCCCGUCACGCUAUAGGAGUUGGCCAUGUUUGAAGUCAUUACCCUUAACCGUAAGUAGGGGGAUGCAUAAGGCUGGGCUUGCAACUGGAGUGAAGUCGUAACAAGGUAGCCGUACUGGAAGGUGCAGCUG
Non-coding RNA from Triticum urartu, 421 nucleotides. Lineage: Eukaryota; Viridiplantae; Streptophyta; Magnoliopsida; Poales; Poaceae. The record is from Rfam.